AUACACGAGUGGCGCACGGGUGCGUAACGCAUAUGCAACCUACCUUUAACUGGGAAAUAGCCCCGAGAAAUCGGGAUUAAUGUCCCAUAUUAUUCUUUGAAUACCUAUUCGAGGAAUGAAAGCUCCGGCGGUUAUUGAUGGGCAUGCGUGACAUUAGCUAGUUGGUGAGGUAACGGCUCACCAAGGCUACGAUGUCUAAGGGUCCUGAGAGGGUUAACCCCCACACUGGUACUGAGACACGGACCAGACUCCUACGGGAGGCAGCAGUAAGGAAUAUUGGGCAAUGGACGCAAGUCUGACCCAGCCAUGCCGCGUGAAGGAUGAAUGUCCUAUGGAUUGUAAACUUCUUUUAUGCAGGAAAAAUAUCCCGGUCGUGAACCGGGACUGAUGGUACUGUAUGAAUAAGCAUCGGCUAACUCCGUGCCAGCAGCCGCGGUAAUACGGAGGAUGCGAGCGUUAUCCGGAUUCAUUGGGUUUAAAGGGUGCGCAGGCGGAAUGAUAAGUCAGUGGUGAAAUCUCCCGGCUCAACCGGGAAACUGCCAUUGAUACUGCCAUUCUUGAGUACAGUUGAAGUGGGCGGAAUGUGUCAUGUAGCGGUGAAAUGCUUAGAUAUGACACAGAACACCGAUAGCGAAGGCAGCUCACUAAGCUGUACUGACGC
RNAcentral lists this ribosomal RNA (661 nucleotides) under uncultured Bacteroidota bacterium. RNAcentral describes it as "bacterial SSU rRNA". It matches the Rfam family "Bacterial small subunit ribosomal RNA", at positions 87 to 746 of the family's 1533-position model. Lineage: Bacteria; Pseudomonadati; Bacteroidota. The record is from RNAcentral.